RNAcentral lists this ribosomal RNA (116 nucleotides) under Ureibacillus thermosphaericus. RNAcentral also lists the same sequence under 4 other names. The record is from RNAcentral. Lineage: Bacteria; Bacillati; Bacillota; Bacilli; Caryophanales; Caryophanaceae.
UCUAGUGACGAUGGCAAAGAGGAUACACCCGUUCCCAUACCGAACACGGAAGUUAAGCUCUUUAGCGCCGAUGGUAGUAAGGGGCUUCCCCUUGUGAGAGUAGGACGUUGCUAGGC